Molecule: ribosomal RNA, 447 nt
Filed under: uncultured bacterium
Lineage: Bacteria
Description: SSU rRNA
Rfam family: Bacterial small subunit ribosomal RNA
Source: RNAcentral
AGAGCGAACGCUGGCGGCAGGCUUAACACAUGCAAGUCGAGCGGGCGUAGCAAUGCGUCAGCGGCAGACGGGUGAGUAACGCGUGGGAACGUACCUUUUGGUUCGGAACAACCCAGGGAAACUUGGGCUAAUACCGGAUAAGCCCUUACGGGGAAAGAUUUAUCGCCGAAAGAUCGGCCCGCGUCUGAUUAGCUAGUUGGUGAGGUAAUGGCUCACCAAGGCGACGAUCAGUAGCUGGUCUGAGAGGAUGAUCAGCCACAUUGGGACUGAGACACGGCCCAAACUCCUACGGGAGGCAGCAGUGGGAAUAUUGGACAAUGGGCGCAAGCCUGAUCCAGCCAUGCCGCGUGAGUGAUGAAGGCCCUAGGGUUGUAAAGCUCUUUUGUGCGGGAAGAUAAUGACGGUACCGCAAGAAUAAGCCCCGGCUAACUUCGUGCCAGCAGCCGC